RNAcentral lists this ribosomal RNA (517 nucleotides) under uncultured bacterium. Its description in RNAcentral is "bacterial SSU rRNA". It matches the Rfam family "Bacterial small subunit ribosomal RNA", at positions 28 to 530 of the family's 1533-position model. The record is from RNAcentral.
AUUGAACGCUGGCGGCGUGCCUAACACAUGCAAGUGGAGCGACGAACCAGACUUCGGUCUGGGGCCAAGCCGCGAACGGGUGAGUAAUACGUGGGUAACCUGCCCCGAUGAUCGGGACAACCCGGGGAAACCCGGGCUAAUACCGAAUGUGGUCGCGGUCCGUGAGGACUGUGACGAAAGGAAGCUUCGGCCUCCGCAUCGGGAUGGGCCCGCGGCCCAUUAGCUUGUUGGUGGGGUAAUGGCCUACCAAGGCAUCGAUGGGUAGCUGGUCUGAGAGGACGAUCAGCCACACUGGGACUGAGACACGGCCCAGACUCCUACGGGAGGCAGCAGUGGGGAAUCUUGCGCAAUGCGCGAAAGCGUGACGCAGCAACGCCGCGUGGGGGAAGAAGGCUUUCGGGUCGUAAACCCCUUCAGUUGGGACGAAGCUUCGCCGGUGAAUAGCCGGCCGGAGUGACGGUACCUUCACAAGAAGCCCCGGCUAACUACGUGCCAGCAGCCGCGGUAAAGCACGACU